CGGCAAGAGCUCAAAUUUGAAAGCUGGCUCCUUCGGGGUCCGCAUUGUAAUUUGUAGAGGAUACUUUUGAUGCGGUGCCUUCCGAGUUCCCUGGAACGGGACGCCAUAGAGGGUGAGAGCCCCGUCUGGUUGGAUGCCAAAUCUCUGUAAAGUUCCUUCAAC
This 162-nucleotide ribosomal RNA is filed under the name Fusarium sp. RNAcentral's name for it is "partial large subunit ribosomal RNA". It matches the Rfam family "Eukaryotic large subunit ribosomal RNA", at positions 99 to 261 of the family's 3401-position model. Lineage: Eukaryota; Fungi; Ascomycota; Sordariomycetes; Hypocreales; Nectriaceae. The record is from RNAcentral.